Fundulus heteroclitus (mummichog) is the source of this 451-nucleotide long non-coding RNA. RefSeq lists it as uncharacterized. NCBI's taxonomy places the organism in Eukaryota, Metazoa, Chordata, Actinopteri, Cyprinodontiformes, Fundulidae. The transcript has 3 exons. The record is from RefSeq and is a predicted model, not a curated record.
UUUUAAGCAACGUACGAAGAACGGACCCCAGGAGACAAAGUUCCUACUCGUGUCCUGACGUCCUCCUCUCGUGACAACACCCUUCAGGAUCCCUCAAUUAUCCUCCUGUGUUGGCUUCCCUCAUGGAUUUCUCCUGGUUCCUCUCAAGUCGGUUCCCCUCCUCUGGACCCCAGCCUCCUUCGGACAUAAACUGGUUCCUCCCGCUGAUCUGGAUCCCUGGAUUCCUCGGUGCUGCUCGGACCCACUUCUGCCUCCGCUCUCUGGUCUCCCGGACACCUGUGGCUCCAUCAUCAGGCAAACGAUGAGUCCACAUCGCCUCCUCCCCGGUUUGGUUUCCCCGUUCAGUGAUCAACCCGGUUCCCCGUCUUCCUGGUUCCCGCUCGAGCUCCCAUCUGCAGAGGCAGAUCUCUCCCCCCGUGUUUCUAACCCAAAUAAACCUUUUACAAAUCUA